This 497-nucleotide ribosomal RNA is filed under the name uncultured bacterium. RNAcentral's name for it is "partial 16S ribosomal RNA". It matches the Rfam family "Bacterial small subunit ribosomal RNA", at positions 28 to 507 of the family's 1533-position model. The record is from RNAcentral.
GAUGAACGCUGGCGGCGUGCCUAAUACAUGCAAGUCGAGCGAACAGACGAGAAGCUUGCUUCUCUGAUGUUAGCGGCGGACGGGUGAGUAACACGUGGAUAACCUACCUAUAAGACUGGGAUAACUUCGGGAAACCGGAGCUAAUACCGGAUGAUAUUUUGAACCGCAUGGUUCAAAAGUGAAAGACGGUCUUGCUGUCACUUAUAGAUGGAUCCGCGCUGCAUUAGCUAGUUGGUAAGGUAACGGCUUACCAAGGCAACGAUGCAUAGCCGACCUGAGAGGGUGAUCGGCCACACUGGAACUGAGACACGGUCCAGACUCCUACGGGAGGCAGCAGUAGGGAAUCUUCCGCAAUGGGCGAAAGCCUGACGGAGCAACGCCGCGUGAGUGAUGAAGGUAUUCGGAUCGUAAAACUCUGUUAUUAGGGAAGAACAUAUGUGUAAGUAACUGUGCACAUCUUGACGGUACCUAAUCAGAAAGCCACGGCUAACUACGUG